Molecule: long non-coding RNA, 401 nt
Filed under: Dromaius novaehollandiae (emu)
Lineage: Eukaryota; Metazoa; Chordata; Aves; Casuariiformes; Dromaiidae
Description: lncRNA (ENSDNVG00000018673.1)
Source: RNAcentral
GUCAGUUUGGACUGCAGGCAGAGCAAGUUCUUGUGUAGUAGGAGCCUUGGCACAGUGAGCUGGCAUUUAUCACAAUACAGGAAGGAAGCUGGUUUUCAUCUUAAUUCCUGGUUUUGCGGCACGGUCCAUCAUGGACACAGAGCCUUCCCACUUCACCCUUGAAAUUAAUGGACAAUAUACUCACUGGGAUUCCCCGAGCUCCUGCUGGUAACCCAGCUGUGUUGUCAUCAUGCAGCUGAGAGGUCCCUAACUCUUUGAGUUCUUCAACUGAAUUUGUAUGUAAGGCUUUUCGUCUACUCACUGAUGUUCUGGGUACUAAGGGCAUGAAGCUGUUUUGCAAAUAAUCUAGGUAUGUUAAAGUGUAACAUUUCCUGACUGCUUUUGGGAACAAAUCAGUUUGG